RNAcentral lists this ribosomal RNA (292 nucleotides) under uncultured bacterium. RNAcentral describes it as "partial 16S ribosomal RNA". It matches the Rfam family "Bacterial small subunit ribosomal RNA", at positions 505 to 796 of the family's 1533-position model. The record is from RNAcentral.
GUGUCAGCAGCCGCGGUAAUACGAAGGGGGCUAGCGUUGUUCGGAAUCACUGGGCGUAAAGGGCGCGUAGGCGGCUUGACAAGUCAGGUGUGAAAGCCCCGGGCUCAACCCGGGAAUUGCACUUGAUACUGUCUGGCUUGAGUCCGGGAGAGGAUGGCGGAAUUCCCAGUGUAGAGGUGAAAUUCGUAGAUAUUGGGAAGAACACCGGUGGCGAAGGCGGCCAUCUGGACCGGUACUGACGCUGAGGCGCGAAAGCAUGGGGAGCGAACAGGAUUAGAAACCCUGGUAGUCC